Gracilinanus agilis (Agile Gracile Mouse Opossum) is the source of this 435-nucleotide long non-coding RNA. RefSeq lists it as uncharacterized. Lineage: Eukaryota; Metazoa; Chordata; Mammalia; Didelphimorphia; Didelphidae. The record is from RefSeq and is a predicted model, not a curated record. The transcript is spliced from 2 exons.
CAGCAACCCCGGUUUCCUGGAGCCCGGCCUCUUCCCUUGGCAUCCGCCAGGCCUUGCCAAGGCCUGAACGCGAGGAGGGCGGGACGGGACGGGCCCCCUGGCCCAAGGUGCAGAGGAUAGUGUUCCGGGGUCAGCGAAGUCCGGCGGAACCUGCUCCCAGGAGUACCUUGGGUCUUCAGAGUAGUUCCAUCAGGCCGAAUGCCAAUGCAGAUAUCCACAAAGGAAAGCGGGACCUUUCAAGGGGUGGCUGUUCGGGCAACCGAGGACAGUUCCCACCUGCAGGCAGGGUGCUGGACUAUGUUGCACUGGAAGGAGAACGUAGGAAUUCUCACGCAGGAGAACUGUAUUAUUUAGGGAUGUAUGUUUUAUUCACUUAAUUGUGACUUCUUUGCAUUGUCUGCGGAGUGAAAUAAAAUCUGUCCUGUAUCAAUUAAA